This is an RNA transcript of Ailuropoda melanoleuca (giant panda), 2458 nucleotides long. It is a transcript of the gene named rho GTPase-activating protein 17-like, with no coding region annotated. Lineage: Eukaryota; Metazoa; Chordata; Mammalia; Carnivora; Ursidae. The record is from RefSeq and is a predicted model, not a curated record. The transcript is spliced from 2 exons.
UGGUUUUUGUAAAGGUGGAAGAUGAAGACCGAUAGUUUGGAGCCAUUUUGUGAAGGUGGGAGUUGACUGUAUCAGAGAAAGAAGAUUUCAGCUGACAGGUGUUAGAUUUUCAGACUAUGCUUGUUGUAGUCCUGGGAUCCUCAGAGGUUCCAUGACCCACUUUGAGGGCACUGAUAGGGCAAGCUUUGUGAGUCCAGACCUCCCACCCUGUACUUUGCCCGGAGUGGCCUGCUGUCACCACCCCUGGUGUGUGAGCUCCAUGGCACCAGAGCAAGCUCGCUUCUCCUUUCCCAGGUUCUCCUCACCAUCGAGAAUCACACCUCACUCAUGUAGGUUCUCAACAAGUACAUGAUGGAAGAAUAAAUACUGGCUUUUUGCCCAAGAUCUCUUUGGGAAAACGAGUCGUAGAAAAACUGCUAUAGGCAGUAUGGAGUCGGUGUUGCCUUUUAUUUGCAUUUUAUAUCAAACUAUAAAUACCUUUCAUUUUCUUAAGUAAUCCAUGCUUAUUGUCCUCUUCCAUGUUGCAUGAUUAUUUCUUUUUUUUUUUUUUUACAAAGAAGAAAGAGGAAUUGUGUAACUUAUAUUCUGAAUCGCACCCCGUCCUUAUGUCCUGUUUCCUCAUUUUACCUCCCCCUGGCUUGGCAAACCAUUCUUGAGAAGAUGAGAGGGCAGGGGGUUGCAUUUAUGAAGCAGGGAGGGAUGGUGGGAGUUUAAAGCCUCAUGCACCCAUAUGCUCUAUACCGCACUUUAUGGGCGCUUCCUAGAUACUGCAUUAUUUUACAAAUUGAAGGUUGGUGGCGACCUUGCCUUGAGUGUGUCCUUUGGUGCCAUUUUUCCGACAGCAUUUGAUCAUUUCAUCUCUCUGUCCCAUUUUGGUAAUUCUUGCAGAAUUUCAAACUUUUUCAUUCUUAUUAUAUUGGUUAGAGUGGUCUGUGAUCAGUGAUUAUGACUCGCUGAAAACUCAGAUGAUGGUUAGCAUUUCUUAGCAAUAAAGUAUUUUUAAUUAAGGUGUAUGCAGUGUGUUUGUAGACAUAAUGCUAUUUCACAUGACAGCACAGUAUAAACGUAACUUUUAUGUGCACUAGGGAACCAAAAGAGGCAUUUGACUUGCUUUAUUGUGAUAUUCGUUUUACUGGGAUGUUCACUUCAUCGUGGUAUUUGCUUUAUCAUGGUACUUGCUUUAUCGCGAUAUUCGCCUUAUUUCAUGGUCUACCACCAAACCUGCAUUAUCUCUGAGGUGUGCCUGCACGCUUGUUUCUUUUUCUUCUUGCAGAGGUGGAAUUCAACGUAUCAGAAGCAUUCGUGCCUCUCGUCACCCCAAAUCCCAAUCACUCAUCUCACACUGGAAAUGACUCUGACUCGGGGACCCUCGAGAGGAAGCGGCCUGCCAGCAUGGCGGUCAUGGAAGAGGACUUGGUGAAGAAGGAGAGUCCUCCAAGACCCAAGGACACCACACCUGCCCCUGCCCCAGGGAGAAACAGCAGUCAGAUGGCCGCCAGCCAGAACCAGGCCCCCAUGGCGGCCGGCUCCCAUCAGCUCUCCUUUGGCCCAGGGCACAAUUCUGCCGGCCCUAGCCCGCACACUCUGCGCCGAGGUAAGAAGCCACCUUUACUCCUUUCCCUUAGGGAGGGAUGUGCAGACUUCCUUGGGUUAGCACAGGGAUUCACGUUGCAAGAUCGUUUCCAUGUCUGUUAUAAAAUGGUAAGCGAGAGAGGAACCUGCAUGGCUUCUUCGGAGGAGCACGUGACUCUUGAUCUUGGAGUCGCAAGUUCAAGCCCCGCGUUGGGUGUAAAGAGUGCUUUAAAAAAAAAAAUCUUUAAAAAAAUGGCAAGCAGAAAAAUCAGUCAUUUAAGAGCAAAAUCAUUAAAAAGAAAUGAAAUAAUGGAGAGCAGAAAAGCAGGCAUUUAAGAAUAUGUUUAAGCCACAAAGCCUAGCAAACAAAAAGUUGCUUCUCAGAAACAACAUUCCCAGUUUUCCAGGAAUCUGGCAUUCCAAGCUCUUCCUCUGCCUGGAAACCUCUGCUGUAGCCAGGCAGUACGAGUCUGCAAGCCGCUGCAGCCUCUAGAUUGAGGUCAGGGCUUUCUGGGUCCUGACUGACAGCGUAUGAUCUGAAUCGUGCCCACCCAUAUCCCUCAACCUCCACCCAGCAGUUAGGGGGGUUGUGCUAAAACACAGCAGAUCAUGUCAUUGCUCUGUUGAAACUCUCCAGUGGCUUCUGUGCAGACCUUCCCCGUGGGCCCCGUGUGGUUGGGCCUGCCUUUGGGGCCACCGCACUUACCACUCCCCUUUCUCACCAACCUUCAGUGGUCCUGGUCUGCUCUCUGCUCCUGGAAUGCCCUAAGCUCAUUCUCUCUUUUUUUUCUCCUUUUAAAAGUGAGAACAGGGGUGCCUGGGUGGCUCAUUCAUUAAGCAUCUGCCUUCGGCUCAGGGCGUGAUCCCGGCGUUCUGGGAUCGAGCC